UGCAAAAAUUUGAUAUUUUUCAUUCAAAUGCAAUAUUUUUCAUUUAAUUGGUAUAUUUUUUCAUUUAUAUGCAAUAUUUUUUCAUUUAUAUGCAAUAUUUUUUCAUUUGUAUGGUAUAUUUUUUCAUUUAUAUGCAAUAUUUUUUCAUUUAUAUGCAAUAUUUUUUCAUUUAUAUGCAAUAUUUUUCAUUUGUAUGGUAUAUUUUUUCAUUUAAAUGGUAUAAUUUUUCAUUUAUAUGCAAUAUUUUUUAUUUUAAUGGUAUAAUUUUUCAUUCAAAUGGUAUAAUUUGUCAUUCAAAUGCAAUAUUUUUUAUUCAAUUUGUAUAACUUGUCAUUGUAAUGCAAUAUUUUUCAUUCAAUUGGUAUAAUUGUCGUUUUUUUAUUUAUAUGCAAUAAUUUUUAUUUAUAUGCAAUAAUUGCAUUAUGGGAAAUUGUUUGACGUCACAAGGUCAAAUUUGCAACAACGUUUGUGAUUGGUCGAUAUAGUCGGGCAGCCCCUGCUUGACUCGCAUGUUGAAGUUGGCACGUUCUCUAUGAACUCCCCUGGUUUGAUUAGCUGUUGAUAUCUAUAUAUGAGAAGGUUUAUAUGAUGUCAGGUCAUAUAAAGGUUUCACAUAGUGAACUUUGUUAUGAUGCUGAGGUCUUAUUGCCACUUAAAGAAGAUGUUUUGGAGAGGGAGACACUCAAAUCACAGUUUCCUUCAGCAGUGGGUUUGAGGUACCAUGUAGGAGGGGUGUUGAAAGCUGUUGCAGCUGAUACAAGAGGGUUUUCUUCUCCAGAUGGAGGUUGGGGAACAAGAAGAUAUAUUGUUGUAACAACAGCAGAAUGUGCUGGUAUGUACAUUCAUGGUUGGUAGAAAAAUCAAUUAUUUUUUUGUACAACAGAACUACAGGAUGUACAGGUGCUGAGCUCUUUGUAUUGAUGAAACUCAACAAAAAACCUAAUAGCUUGGCAAAGAUCAGUUGCCCACUUUUGUUGCAGAUUGAUGAAAAAAAAGUUCAAUGAAUUAUGUCUCGAACAGGCUCUUUUUAAACCUAUAUAUUUUGAGCAAAUUCUCAUGAAUUUUUUUUGCAAUACUAUCGAAGGAUUUAAAAGUAUUAGUUGAUUGUUCUUUAGGAACUUUGAAAAUAAGAUAUCUGAGUACUAUACGACGACUGUGAGUGAUUUUGAGCUUUCUACUGUUUUGGAAAAUAAGGGUUGAAACAGAUGAUAAAAAGGGUGAAAGGAUUUUUGAUACCUAAUUUAAACUUCAGUACUUUUAGUUGAGUACAUGACGGCCAAAAAAUGUGUUGAAAAAUUAUGGUAUGAUACCGUCUUCAUCUGUGUCUUUAAGUUGGGAUACAUGUACCUGAAGUAAUAUCUUUCCAAAUAAUUGUUUAGUUUAAAAUUUUGUCAUGAUAAUCGCCAACUGCUUUAAUUUUAUCUUUUUAAUUUUACU
Long non-coding RNA from Mytilus trossulus (common blue mussel), 1437 nucleotides. RefSeq lists it as uncharacterized. The record is from RefSeq and is a predicted model, not a curated record. NCBI's taxonomy places the organism in Eukaryota, Metazoa, Mollusca, Bivalvia, Mytilida, Mytilidae. The transcript has 2 exons.